RNAcentral lists this ribosomal RNA (253 nucleotides) under uncultured bacterium. RNAcentral describes it as "partial 16S ribosomal RNA". It matches the Rfam family "Bacterial small subunit ribosomal RNA", at positions 524 to 776 of the family's 1533-position model. The record is from RNAcentral.
UACGUAGGGGGCAAGCGUUGUCCGGAUUUACUGGGCGUAAAGCGAGCGCAGGCGGUUUUUUAAGUCUGAUGUGAAAUCCUUCGGCUCAACCGAAGAAGUGCAUCUGAAACUGGGAAGCUUGAGUGAAGAAGAGGAAGGUGGAAUUCCAUGUGUAGCGGUGAAAUGCGUAGAGAUAUGGAGGAACACCAGUGGCGAAGGCGGCUGUCUGGGCUUUAACUGACGCUGAGGCUCGAAAGUGUGGGUAGCAAACAGG